RNAcentral lists this long non-coding RNA (312 nucleotides) under Lathyrus oleraceus (garden pea). RNAcentral's name for it is "Pisum sativum (pea) long non-coding RNA (PSAT_LNC015407)". The record is from RNAcentral. Lineage: Eukaryota; Viridiplantae; Streptophyta; Magnoliopsida; Fabales; Fabaceae.
UUUAUUUAAUUUACAAUAUAGAUUAAGAAUUCUAGAUGAGUAUAUUUGUUAGUAAGAAAAUAAUAUUAAUUGUUAUUGUUUACAAAAAAAAGAAGAAUAAAUUUGCACAUUGGAUUCUUAGAAAGAUUACCAUUGGAUUCUCUCUGGCUGUUGCCAGCUCACAGGCCAAUAAUUUCCUCUUACAUAGACACGCGUCUUCCUCCUCUCUCACAAAACACUCACUAUUUUAUCUCUUUCUCUCAUCAUCAACGGUAAAAAUUAAAAAAAAAAAAAAGAGAAUCCAAGGGAGAUCCCCUAACACUCUCACUAACG